AUUUCUGAGAAUAACAGCUCGCUUAUCAUCUCCGCCUAGAUGAAACGACGUGUUUUCGUUUAGGGUUAAACCUGUGUUCUUCUUCGCCUCUCCAGAGCUCAAACGACAAUGGUGAUUCUGAAAGUCCGAAGAGACGAAUCGUCGUCCAGAGACUCCGAAUUACGCUUCGUUACAGUCGUUUCGAGUUCAUUCCUAUCCUUCCAGACGUUUUGACGCCACAUUCAUCGCCUUUAAGAUACAUCUUAACUCCAUCGAGGCUCAUCAAGGACGAUGCCACAUUCAAUGUUACUUUUAUCUGUUCAAGGAGGCUGGCCAGUGUUCUUCCAUGGUGGAGUCUGAUUGCUGAGAUUCGGGGAGGGUGGGUCGAAAUGUCAAGCGUGGUGGGGAGUUGAUGGGGUUGACAUGCUCCUCCUUGAUGCUGAGGCAACACUUAUUCAAGUGUUCAUUGUCUUCCCACUAGCAAGCGACUGGGUUCUAUGUUUUACUUUGAUUUCACUUGGUGUUAUCAGAACUAUAGGCUCUCCGAGCUGGUCUCGAGAAACACUGGGAACAACCCAGAUCCUUCAUUGCUGGAGGAUAUGCCAAGGUUGAACCACUGAGCAUAUCUGAGCUGAAUGAGUUCGUCAUCACAGCCGAGCCUUAGGAGAUUGAAUUUGUCUGCACUGGAAUGGUGAGUGAAAUCAAGAUGGACAAAGGCUGGUGUUACGUUUCCUGCUCCAGGUGCACAAGAAUCUCCAAAGAACUGUCUCAUUUUUGACUUGCGUGUCCUGCAACAACACAUGCGUUUUUGGAGUGCUCUGGUAUAUUGGAUCAUUUGUUUUUCCCCGUUUUGAAAAUUCUCACAUACAGUCAAAAUGGUUUUCAUACAAUUUAUUACAAGGUACCGGGUGGAGAUGAGCAUUGCUGACGACACAGAUGAGGGUCUAUUUGUGGCUUUCGAUGGAGUACGUAGCAUUAUCUAACGCUGGCAUUGAAGGUUACAAAUGUGUGGAAACCUCAUCUGCAUGAACAUCCUCCAUUGGUCCUGCCACCAAGAAGCCUCGCCUUUCAACAAUUUUGAAUGUGGUCAAGAAGGUAUGAAAGGCUUAAGGGAACAUGACGGAGUUUCUAGAGUCAGUUUUCUUCUUUCAAUAAUGCUUAGCCAUCAAUGUUAUUUUUUUAACUUUGAAUUCUCGAGUCAUAUUUCCUCUUUGAAUAGUGCUUAGGCAUCAAUGUUUUUCUUCUUCUAAUUUUCUCCUCAUCUGGAGUUUGCUAUGUUUUUUCUUAGCUACCGUGAAAAUGGUCUUGAGUUUCAGGCAUACUCUGAGUUUAAAACCGAAGAAUACAAAUAUACAAUACUCUG
Long non-coding RNA from Brassica oleracea var. oleracea, 1342 nucleotides. RefSeq lists it as uncharacterized. The record is from RefSeq and is a predicted model, not a curated record. Lineage: Eukaryota; Viridiplantae; Streptophyta; Magnoliopsida; Brassicales; Brassicaceae. The transcript is spliced from 5 exons.